RNAcentral lists this long non-coding RNA (445 nucleotides) under Malus domestica (apple). RNAcentral's name for it is "long non-coding RNA (MDOM_LNC019131)". Lineage: Eukaryota; Viridiplantae; Streptophyta; Magnoliopsida; Rosales; Rosaceae. The record is from RNAcentral.
CCGCCGCUAUUACCACCAACCAGGUGAUGAAAUGUACAACCCGUACUCUCCUUCAUGCCACCAACCAGGUGAUCAAAAGUACACCCAGUACUCCAAAUUAUACAUGAGCAUUACUCAUGUCAUUCAUACAUAAACAUUCAUGAACAUCACUCAUGACAAUUAUACAUAAACAUUCAUGACCAUCAUUCAUGAGCAUCACUCAUGUUAAUAUUCAUGAGCAUCACUCAUGACAACAUCCAUGAGCAUCACUCAUGACAACAUCCAUGAGCAUCACUCAUGUCAAUCAACAUAAACAUUCAUGAGCAUCACUCAUGUCAAUUAGCUUCAAAAGCUUCAUUUACAGAACUCUAGCUUCAAAAGCUUCAUUUACAAAAGGUCCAACUUCGAAAGCUUCAUUUACAGAAAUCUAGCUUCAAAGUUUCACUUGCAAAGCUUCACCUACAAA